Molecule: long non-coding RNA, 1356 nt
Filed under: Athene cunicularia (burrowing owl)
Lineage: Eukaryota; Metazoa; Chordata; Aves; Strigiformes; Strigidae
Description: lncRNA (ENSACUG00000006585.1)
Source: RNAcentral
AUGCUGUACAUUGAUCACCUGUCCAACCUUUGCCUAGAGUGUGAUCCCCAGUUCCUUCAAGAGAUCCAUCUUUACCUGUCUAUAAAGAAGAAGAGGAGGAGGGAGACAUCUGGGAUAUUCAAGCAUCAAACUUUAACGCCAGAGCAGUUGUCAGAGGAACUAGUGAAAGAGGAAGAAAAAAAUGUAGCACCGGAAGCUAACGAUGAUAAUCUAUUGCAUUGGAUCUCUAAACAUGACCAUGAUAUCCUGGAGAAGAUCACAGAUGCAGAAAAUUAAUGCUAAGGUUGAUAUCUAAUGUAAUGCUGCAUUAAUUGGCAUUUUCUCCAUUAUUUCUUGUAGUCUACUAUGAAUUUAGAUACUUUGGAAAAUAAUGAAGGAGACUCAAUCAGAAAUUGUAAGAGCUUCAUUUCUGUCUUUAAUGGGUCUUGGAAGUUAUUCUGUUUUCACAAAGAAACCAUCUGUUCAGAAUAGUAUUGUUUAAUGAAGUUCAGUUAAGCAGAUUAUGUAACUAAUUUUUGGUAAAUUGAUAUUGAUUUUAAUAAGUAAUUCAGAUUCUCUUAGAUGUGGUAUCUGCAUUUGCUGAUUUUACCUAGUCUCUUCUAAAGUAUCACUUCUAUUGCACUAGAUUAUCAAAGAGGUAUUAGUAAAAUGCUAUAUAAGGGUGUUGGCAUUAAUCUUACCCCCAGUUAGAUGUGGGCUUUUCCAAAAGAUAAAAUCCAAGCCUUUACCCUCCUCUGUUUUCUUAUAUCUACUGAUAAAAUAAUAAUAAUUUUUUAAAAAUACCAAAACUAAAACCAAAAAACUUUGAUAGUAUAUCCGGUAUUAAGCUCUGGGCCAGGUUGGAAAUGAAAUCAAUUUUUGGUACUAAUAACUGAUGACAAAGAUUAGCUUUAUGAAAAUAUGGUGUGUGUCUCUGACAAUGCAUAGGACAUCUAAUUUGAGCAUAAAUAUAAGAUUAUAUACAAAAUGUGUCUAUUUCUGGGUGGUAAAAGCUUGAGGCAUAUAUAAAUACAUAUGUAUGUAUAUAUAUGGACAUAUACACAAGGAUGUGUCAAGCUUUUACCAUCCAAAAGCAUACAGGUUUUCAACAGUAAAAGCUGGGACUCUUUAAAAAACAAAACAAAACAAAACAAAAUAUAAGAUUGCUGUGAAUACAGUGUAUGCACUAGGUCUCCUGUAAAUGAGGAACUGUUUGUUAUUGUUUUCUACAUUGAAAAACAGUCUCCAACAUGGAUCCCAAUGAAUCCGAUAUGCUAAAGAAAAUACCAACGAACAAACAGCACUUAAAGGCUGUUUGCAUCCACAAAAUGUAUCUAAUGAAAUAAAUUUAAAUCACAUUCAAGGAAAACUAAAAAU